GUAGAGAAUUAUCAAUUAAAGGUACGCGAGCAAUUCUCUAC
RNAcentral lists this small RNA (41 nucleotides) under Neochlamydia sp. EPS4. RNAcentral describes it as "CRISPR-DR50". The record is from RNAcentral. Lineage: Bacteria; Pseudomonadati; Chlamydiota; Chlamydiia; Parachlamydiales; Parachlamydiaceae.